CUGGCGGCGUGCCUAAUACAUGCAAGUCGAGCGGACCGGAUCGGAGCUUGCUCUGAUUUGGUCAGCGGCGGACGGGUGAGUAACACGUGGGCAACCUGCCCGCAAGACCGGGAUAACUCCGGGAAACCGGAGCUAAUACCGGAUAACACCGAAGACCGCAUGGUCUUUGGUUGAAAGGCGGCCUUUGGCUGUCACUUGCGGAUGGGCCCGCGGCGCAUUAGCUAGUUGGUGAGGUAACGGCUCACCAAGGCGACGAUGCGUAGCCGGCCUGAGAGGGUGACCGGCCACACUGGGACUGAGACACGGCCCAGACUCCUACGGGAGGCAGCAGUAGGGAAUCUUCCGCAAUGGGCGAAAGCCUGACGGAGCGACGCCGCGUGAGCGAAGAAGGCCUUCGGGUCGUAAAGCUCUGUUGUGAGGGACGAAGGAGCGCCGUUCGAAGAGGGCGGCGCGGUGACGGUACCUCACGAGGAAGCCCCGGCUAACUAC
This 489-nucleotide ribosomal RNA is filed under the name Bacillus sp. PS3. RNAcentral's name for it is "bacterial SSU rRNA". It matches the Rfam family "Bacterial small subunit ribosomal RNA", at positions 36 to 504 of the family's 1533-position model. The record is from RNAcentral. Lineage: Bacteria; Bacillati; Bacillota; Bacilli; Caryophanales; Bacillaceae.